CCUACGGGUGGCAGCAGUGGGGAAUAUUGCACAAUGGGGGAAACCCUGAUGCAGCGACGCCGCGUGAGUGAAGAAGUAUUUCGGUAUGUAAAGCUCUAUCAGCAGGGAAGAAAAUGACGGUACCUGAGUAAGAAGCCCCGGCUAACUACGUGCCAGCAGCCGCGGUAAUACGUAGGGGGCAAGCGUUAUCCGGAUUUACUGGGUGUAAAGGGAGCGUAGACGGCAGUGCAAGUCUGGAGUGAAAUGCGGGGGCUUAACCCCGGAACUGCUUUGGAAACUGUGCAGCUGGAGUGCAGGAGAGGUAAGUGGAAUUCCUAGUGUAGCGGUGAAAUGCGUAGAUAUUAGGAGGAACACCAGUGGCGAAGGCGGCUUACUGGACUGUAACUGACGUUGAGGCUCGAAAGCGUGGGGAGCAAACAGGAUUAGAUACCCCAGUAGUC
RNAcentral lists this ribosomal RNA (440 nucleotides) under uncultured bacterium. Its description in RNAcentral is "partial 16S ribosomal RNA". It matches the Rfam family "Bacterial small subunit ribosomal RNA", at positions 338 to 795 of the family's 1533-position model. The record is from RNAcentral.